RNAcentral lists this non-coding RNA (45 nucleotides) under Trichobilharzia regenti. The record is from RNAcentral. Lineage: Eukaryota; Metazoa; Platyhelminthes; Trematoda; Strigeidida; Schistosomatidae.
AUCCAGCUGACGAGUCCCGAACGGGACGAAAUGCGCAUCCUGGAU